UACGUAGGGGGCAAGCGUUAUCCGGAAUUACUGGGUGUAAAGGGAGCGUAGGCGGCAAGGUAAGCGAUAUGUGAAAGCCUUAGGCUUAACCUGAGGAUUGCAUAACGAACUAUCUAGCUAGAGUACAGGAGAGGAAAGCGGAAUUCCUAGUGUAGCGGUGAAAUGCGUAGAUAUUAGGAAGAACACCAGUGGCGAAGGCGGCUUUCUGGACUGAAACUGACGCUGAGGCUCGAAAGCGUGGGGAGCGAACAGG
This 253-nucleotide ribosomal RNA is filed under the name uncultured bacterium. RNAcentral's name for it is "partial 16S ribosomal RNA". It matches the Rfam family "Bacterial small subunit ribosomal RNA", at positions 524 to 776 of the family's 1533-position model. The record is from RNAcentral.